This 76-nucleotide transfer RNA is filed under the name Ruminococcaceae bacterium YAD3003. RNAcentral's name for it is "tRNA_Thr_GGT". It matches the Rfam family "tRNA". From Rfam's summary of the family: Transfer RNA (tRNA) molecules are approximately 80 nucleotides in length. Lineage: Bacteria; Bacillati; Bacillota; Clostridia; Eubacteriales; Oscillospiraceae. RNAcentral also lists the same sequence under 1 other name. The record is from RNAcentral.
GCCCCCAUAGCUCAGUCGGUAGAGCGCAUCCAUGGUAAGGAUGAGGUCUCCGGUUCAAGUCCGGAUAGGGGCUCCA